AUGACAUAUCUGGCUUUUGAGGAAGGUUUUGAUAAGUGCUGUAUUGUUUCGUCUAUAGUUUUAUGUACUAUUUCCAGUGAUUACUUUGGACUGCACAAGGAGAGCAGUGCACCAUAGUCUGCGCAGCCAACAAUAGUAUGAAUGGCAAAGCAGCAUUGCAUGGCUUCUCACUGAGAUCAUCCGCAAAGGCUGACAUCACCCUCUCUCACUUCCUGGAACCACCUGUUGUACCAUGGUGACUAAGAGUACAAAAUUAAGGGCAAACUUAGGCUUCUGUAAAUGACUACAUUUUUCAAGGAUUUCCAUGCCCUUUUAUUACCAGCAUUGGGUUAAUUGAUUUCUAAAUUAACUUGUUUGUAGAUAGAGGAUGAAUAAAUGGUCCUGAUCAAAUCAACCUAGUAAUCGUGUGUUUUAGAUAAAUCAAGUUUUUUUUGUUGAUCUGAUUAUUCUUUAAAGAAAAGUAGGUUUAUGUUACGAAGAAGAGUCAGGUUCCUGUGAAAUGAGAAUUGAUGGAAAACUUAAUCUUUCCCUAAUGAUAUGAUUCUUAUAAAGUUUAUAUAAACUUUAACCGUUUCGGCACCAGCUGAUCUUUAUUAACGUAGGAUCAACAACUACGAGAAAUGGAGCAAGAAUUAAAGAGACGAAAUUUUGAGAUAAAGUUUGUCACUGUAUUGAUCCGAAAUUCACAAGAGAGUUGCACAAAAUAAAAUAAACGAGAGUAGAUGAGAGUAAACGAAUUUCCACACAUCGAAGCACUUGGGUGAGAUACACUUGAUGAAAGUAAAUUAGAAUGGUCACUUGAGAUUGAGAACUUAGAGAGAGGACCGAGAGUUACUAAGACCGUUGAGAAGUACAGGCCUUGGGUCUACAAGAUGGGAAAAGACCGUUGAGAGGCACAGGUCCUGGGUCUACAAGAUGGGAAAAGACCUAGAUUUUUGGGCAGCGCACGCUUUUAUGGACUUGCUGACAUCACGGGUGGCGAGACAAUAAGUCUAUGCGUGAUUGGCUGGCUAUGAUCUGUGUAGCUAUCAGUUGCAAGUCUAGUAAUAA
RNAcentral lists this long non-coding RNA (1050 nucleotides) under Bemisia tabaci. Its description in RNAcentral is "lncRNA ENSSSA2NGG008108". Lineage: Eukaryota; Metazoa; Arthropoda; Insecta; Hemiptera; Aleyrodidae. The record is from RNAcentral.